AGUGAACAAAGUGUAUUCCUGGGCUAAUAACAUGUUAAACUUUUUGAAAUAUUCUGUUAUUGCUUGAGAAUACACGUUGUCUCU
Tetranychus urticae (two-spotted spider mite) is the source of this 84-nucleotide non-coding RNA. NCBI's taxonomy places the organism in Eukaryota, Metazoa, Arthropoda, Arachnida, Trombidiformes, Tetranychidae. The record is from Rfam.